This 441-nucleotide ribosomal RNA is filed under the name uncultured bacterium. Its description in RNAcentral is "bacterial SSU rRNA". It matches the Rfam family "Bacterial small subunit ribosomal RNA", at positions 958 to 1400 of the family's 1533-position model. The record is from RNAcentral.
AACGCGAAGAACCUUACCUGGGCUCGAAAUGUUGUGGACCGGGGUUGAAAGAUCCCUUCCCCGCAAGGGGCCGCAAUAUAGGUGCUGCAUGGCUGUCGUCAGCUCGUGUCGUGAGAUGUUGGGUUAAGUCCCGCAACGAGCGCAACCCUUACCACCAGUUGCCAUCAUUCAGUUGGGCACUCUGGCGGAACCGCCUCGGAUAACGGGGAGGAAGGUGGGGAUGACGUCAAGUCCUCAUGGCCUUUAUGUCCAGGGCUACACACGUGCUACAAUGGCCGGUACAAACCGUCGCAAACCCGCGAGGGGGAGCUAAUCGGAAAAAGCCGGCCUCAGUUCGGAUUGCAGUCUGCAACUCGACUGCAUGAAGCUGGAAUCGCUAGUAAUCGCGGAUCAGAAUGCCGCGGUGAAUACGUUCCCGGGCCUUGUACACACCGUAGAGAC